UUUCAGCUUCCACCAUGGGAUGAUACAGCAUGAAGGCCCUCACCAGAUAUGCACCCCUUGAUUUUGGACUUCCCAGACUCCAGAACUGACAUUGUAUCUCCUUCCAUAAAAAGGUGGAGUCUGCCUCCCUAUCCUUUGAAUUCGGACUGGCAUCGUCACUUGCGUUGGACAAGGUAUAUGGUAGUAGUGUUGAUGUGCGAGUUUUGAGCUUAGAUCAUUGGAGGUCUUCCCCUUUCUUUUUCAGAUCUCUGUGGUUACUCUGUGAAUUGGUCUGUACAGGCCCACUUGAGUACAGAUGAGCCAUUUCAGCUAAGCCUACAAGACACUUCCAGCUAAACCUAGCCCAAAUUGCCAACUUGCAGAAUCUGUCUUCAUCAGGAAGAUCUGUUUGAUGUAGCAAACAGCAUCCUCAACAACAUCCUUAUAGUACAAGUCAUGUGGGUUAUUUUAAAAAUGAGACUUAUUCUCAGUGCUGCACUCUCAAGAAUGAUAGAAUCUGGGCUAUCCCUGUGACUUGCUUUGACUAACGGAAUGUGACAGAAUGACGUUGUGCAACAUCCAAAUCAGGACUUAAGAAACUGUAGGCAGCCAUCAUGCUGUGAACGCAAGCUGUGUGGAGAGACUAAGUGGAGGUGAAUGGAGUCAGUUCAGUCAACAGCCCUACCUGAUAUUUCAGUCCAUAACUAGCCCUGUGUGUCAGCCCUGUGAACAGGUCGUCUUGGACUUUUCACCCCAGUUGAGAAUAAUGACUACAUCCUCAGCUGAUAGCACAUGGAACAGAGGAACUACCUAGCUUAGCUGGGCCCAUAUUGCAGAAUUGUGAGAGAUCAUGAAAAG
RNAcentral lists this long non-coding RNA (837 nucleotides) under Homo sapiens (human). Its description in RNAcentral is "HSALNT0150395". The record is from RNAcentral. Lineage: Eukaryota; Metazoa; Chordata; Mammalia; Primates; Hominidae.